AGGAGAAAGUUUGUUCCCCCUUAUUUUCUGCAGAAAAGAUUCUCCCUCCAUCUGGGUCGCUCCUGCUUCGCGCCCAGCCCGGCCACCUGUUACUGUCUUGGGUCCCUCCUCCAGGAGGCCCAUAGCUGCACACGGUUGGCAGCACUUACAGCCCGCCCCUGUGAUUGGUGCCCGCGUGGAGAGAGCCUGCCGGUGGGGGCGGCCGAGCAACGGGGCGGGCCUCAGGGGGAAAGACCCCUGCAGGACAGAGAGUUGGUCUUUCUGAGCCGAAGCGGAAGCAUCCUGCGGUUCUCUGCGCGCCCCCACUGUGUGCCAUCUACGCACACCGAGCACCCUGCGCCUGGGCACUUGGGAGGAGACCCAUUCUGCUGACUUCCGCUCGCAUCUGCCAUCACACCUUUUCAAAGUGGUGUUUCUGGAAAAGAGAAAUUCGCUUUCGGUUUGUGACAGUUUGGGGCCACAUGGAAACUGUGUUUCCCUCCUGGCAGACUCUUAGAACUGUAAGAGCAAAGGCAUACAGUAAAAUAAAAUGCCAUAAAAUUGUUGGAUUUUUUAGGUAAAGGUGGACCCCAAACUACCCCCCAAAUGGGGGGUGUAAAGUCCUGUCAAAAUCUGCAAGUCUUCCGUUCCGCCCCCGCAACUCCCUGAGGCCUCCACAGGCCGACAAGCAAACCCUCCCUCCCGGCGGAGAGCGGGCCUGGCCGGCUUCCCCAGGCGCUUUGUGCCGCGGCCUCGGGAGUCACCCGCCUCCUGUCUCACCUGAGUCUUGUCACCGUGUCACCGCGGCCAUCUCCAAGUGAUCUUGGAACAAUGCCGGUCCCCGCGGCAGAGCCGCUGGUCAAUCAGGCAGAACGGACCGUGCAGAUGGACUGGGGGCCACGCUCGGGGAACACUGCGGCCCAUUGUCCCCGGCGUUUCAAAGCGCCGAGCAGCUGCGCACGCUUGUCGCCUCAGACCCUCGGCUGCCACACUAAUGUCAUCAUCGCGGAACGUCAGAUUGUGAGCACGAUACAGUCGGAUUCAUUAGCAGCCUUCUCCGCAAAGGUCUCUCUUGUCUAUGACAAGUUUCAGACUCCAGACCCCUCUCUGUGGGGAGGGGAGGGGGCACUUGGCAAGUGACAAGAGCUGAAGAGCCAGUUUCCUCUUUCUGGUGAAUUCUGAGACCGGCCUGGGGGUUCAGAGCGCGGAAGUCUGACCCGAGGGGCUCAGAUUUCCAGGCACCCCUGUGUUCUGAGUGGCGCUUGCAACCGUAAAGCCCCAAGGGCUGCACACAACAGGUGGGGUGGCCUCCACAGACGCCUUCCGCUCUGGGGCUCACGCAGUGAAAGAUCUGAAGUCUUUUCUGUAGACCGGACUCGAAACCGCACCCGUUGGAGCAGUUGUGCCCAAGACGGACAAGCUGGUCACACCAGGCAAGCUCCUUGGCGGGGCGAACGGCCUGCCAGCUCUGAGCGUGUCACAGGCCGGCACCUUGUCGGGCUCCCGAGUGGCCACCCCGAUGCUGCCAUCCUGCCUCCUGUCCCCUUGCCGCCUGUUCCCACCCCCCCCUUCUGGGUGACCUCUUUUUGGCAGGACUUUGCGGGCAGCCUGGGGCACCUGCAAAUACAGCUCAGCCCUCUGGCCUCCAGCCAGCUUCCUUCCCCUCCCCACCCGUGGCCUCCGUUAACCUGUCCUUCCUCUGCCUGCUUCCAGGCGUCCCCACCCUUCUCCUCUGCCCUCCCCCAGGGCUGGGAUUUCUAUGGCCAUCACAUGGGGAAGUUCAAGGACAUUCCAGCCGCAGCUGAGAAGCAGAUGUGGAGGCCCGGGUGCAGAGGGCCAAGUCUUCCCUGAGUGCCCAGAGGCUCCCUGGGGCCCUGAAGACCCCCGACAUGUGCCUCAAAGCCUCUCAGGUGCCUCUGGUUUCCUGACGGACCAAGGUGCCACCAGCCAUGUUUUCGUGAACACGAGGAGAAUGACCCCGUUUGGUGGGUCUUGUUUGCCUGGGUGUCAGGGUGAGGGGUGCAGAUGACCCAACCACAGGUGGUCACUUUAGGGGCACCUCUAGGGAACUGACCUAGAACCUCCCUCUUUUUUCUCCCCAGAAAAUACGACUUGGGCCCUGCCCCUGUGGUUGCUCUUGUAAAUCUCUGUGGGUCUUCACCGGCCCUGGGCCUGGGACCCCCAGCACCGGUGGGGCGCCCUCCCCCACGAGUCCACAGGGCUGGGGGUGCAGAGGCAGCUCACAGGAGCCCCUGGCCAGCACCCCGAGUUGCAGGGGGACAGUGGUUUUGCAGGUUUGGAGCCCCAGUGUCUCCGCAGGGAGUAGACAGCAUCCGGAGCCCUGGGGGUGUGCGCAGUGCAUGUGGGAAGGGCCGCAGAGGCCCGGCCGCGGCUCAGCCCGGGCCACAGGGGGUUUCCUUGGCCGCAUGGGCCUCUUCCUGCAGGAGGCUUUGGCCCCUGAGCCUGGAGCCCGGAGCCCGGACUCGCCCCGGCCUGCCCCCACCCGCAUGUCCACUGCCUUCUACACUUGGGCCCUUCGCAUACAAUCAAUCCACAGCCACACACACCUUACACACUCACAGCUCCUCAUCACAUGUACCUCUCCCACACACACCUUACACACUCACAGCACCACACGCACGCACACCGUGCCCUCACAUUCAUGCAAACACCCAGAGGCUCUCUCUGGGAUGUGAGCGUGUGCACCCCGGAGCCACACGAGUUCAUUGGUGGACACCUCCCCUGCCCCGCCCACAGGUCCCUGCGGGUCCUGCAGUGCAGGCUGGCUGGGGUGGGGGAGGGGGCAGUGACCCCUGGCCCCCCUCCCCGCCCCGGAGGGAGAAGCCAGAAGCCACACCCACCCUGGGAAGAAUACGCUGCUAGGUACACUCACCGGGCACUUGAACUCAUCUGUACAGAAUUCAACAGACACAGCAGAAAAGUGACGUCAGGAAGGACACGGCUGGCGGUUUCCGAGCCCUUCCCUCCUGAGCGGAGAGAGUGGGCGGAGUUACCGCGUGGUCCCCGUGGUUCCGCGCUGCCUCGCUGUGGCCCCGCGUGGCCGUGGGGCGCUCGGGUCACGGCCGCCCGCCGCUCGCGGAGCUGCGGUGCGGAAAGCCCAGCGGAGCGCCUCCGCGGCGGCUCACGUCCGGGGUCAUGCGGGAAUGACCGUAUUUUGGGGCAUAUAGGGUAAAAUAAGGUACAUUUUUGAAGUUAAUUUCUUCUUUCUGCCUCUUUUACUUUUUAAAAAUGUAGCUUUUAGGAAAUUUAAAGUGACCCACGGGUCUUCUGGUUGUGACUUGCCGUCACUUCCCAACGGCUCCUUCCGGAAACGGAGGUGGCCACGGCCGCUCCUGGCGGCAGGAGGCCGUGGGGACCCUCCGGCGGGCAAGUGGGUCUUGUGGCGGCCGCACUUGGUCGUCGGGCCUCCGCCCUCUUGAGGGGGCGCACGCUGGGCGCAGGAUGGCAGCCCACGGCAUUUUAUCGCUUGACUCGUGUUCUUUCCCUUGUAACUUGACUUCCGCCCCAUUGCUGGGCUGCGAUCCGUCAGCGACCUUCGGUGGACCCGCAAGGAACUUCUGAAGACUCUGGCCACGGAGGAGGCAUCACCACCCCAAGGCCCUGCAGCCGGAGCGGGGACUCACGGCCCCGAAAACGCUUUCUGCUGAGCAAGAACAGAACUCCUUCCAGAUUUUUCAUUCCUCUGAUUGACUCAUAGCUUUAAGAUUUUGUGAAGUCACGGCUGGUCAAAAACAUUACAAUAAAACAUUUGCAUAUUUUA
Long non-coding RNA from Suricata suricatta (meerkat), 3760 nucleotides. RefSeq lists it as uncharacterized. The record is from RefSeq and is a predicted model, not a curated record. The transcript is spliced from 2 exons. Lineage: Eukaryota; Metazoa; Chordata; Mammalia; Carnivora; Herpestidae.